AUACGGAGGAUCCGAGCGUUAUCCGGAUUUAUUGGGUUUAAAGGGAGCGUAGGUGGGAUAUUAAGUCAGCUGUGAAAGUUUGGGGCUCAACCUUAAAAUUGCAGUUGAUACUGGUUUCCUUGAGUACGGUAUAGGUGGUCGGCAUUCGUGGUGUAGCGGUGAAAUGCUUAGAUAUCACGAAGAACUCCGAUCGCGAAGGCAGCUCACCGGGCCGGAACUGACACUGAUGCUCGAAAGUGCGGGUAUCAAACAGGAUUAGAUACCCUGGUAGUCCGCACAGUAAACGAUGAAUACUCGCUGUUUGCGAUACACUGUAAGCGGCCAAGCGAAAGCGUUAAGUAUUCCACCUGGGGAGUACGCCGGCAACGGUGAAACUUAAAGGAAUUGACGGGG
RNAcentral lists this ribosomal RNA (393 nucleotides) under uncultured bacterium. RNAcentral describes it as "partial 16S ribosomal RNA". It matches the Rfam family "Bacterial small subunit ribosomal RNA", at positions 523 to 918 of the family's 1533-position model. The record is from RNAcentral.